GGGUCUGUAGCUCAGCUGGUUAGAGCACCGUCUUGAUAAGGCGGGGGUCGUUGGUUCGAGUCCAACCAGACCCA
Vigna radiata var. radiata (mung bean) is the source of this 74-nucleotide non-coding RNA. NCBI's taxonomy places the organism in Eukaryota, Viridiplantae, Streptophyta, Magnoliopsida, Fabales, Fabaceae. The record is from Rfam.